This is a long non-coding RNA of Lepus europaeus (European hare), 3334 nucleotides long. RefSeq lists it as uncharacterized. Lineage: Eukaryota; Metazoa; Chordata; Mammalia; Lagomorpha; Leporidae. The transcript has 3 exons. The record is from RefSeq and is a predicted model, not a curated record.
CUGAAGGUAUCAACAGGUUUUGCAACCAGAGGAGAAAUCAUUGGAAAAGGAAGCAGCUUCGGCGGGACCACCAAGGUGUCAUUGGAUUUGACAGUAUUUAAUAAAUCAAAUCUGAACAUACAGAAUAAUGUCUGACCUCAAUACUGUAUUAACUUUUAAGACUUGGGUGUAGAAGUUUGUUGGUAUCUACUGACAGUUACUUUAAAUUAGCAUCUGUAUACAAAUUGAGUAUCUCUGAUCUAAAAAUCUGAAACUCUAAAAUAUGAAAUGUUUUGAGCACAGAUAUGAUGCCACAAGUGGAAAAUUCCACACCUGACCUUCUGUGAUGGGUCACAGCCAAAACACAGGCACACUACAAAUACUGUAUAAAUUGACCUUCUGGCUAGGAGAGAGUGUGUGUGUGCAACGAUCAAUUUCAUGUUUAGACCUGGAUCUUAUAUCCAAGAUAUCUUAUGUAUAUGCAGGCAUUUCCAAAAUUCAAGAGAUUCUUAAACACUUAAUGGUCCCAAGCAUUUCAAAUAAGGGAUACUCAACCUGUAGCACAAAUUUUUUUUUUUGUAACUGACCUAGUCUUAUGACAUUUUAUGGCUUAGGUUCCGAAAUGAAAAUAUCCUGUGGAGAGAAAUUACUAAAUUGCGAGCUCUCCUCAAGUGCUGGUUUAUAACGGGGUCCUAUUCUGGACCAACAAUAUUAAGAAUGAAAAAAAUGUCUUCACAGCUGAAAAAUGUGCUUUGGCUUAAAAGAGAUACAGUAAUUAAUCAUAUCUUUUGUCAUUAUUGCUUAUUUCUUAGAGUAGGGUCAUUUCUGGCUUUCUCAAAGCAAAAGAGUAUUUCAUUUUCUGCAUUUUUCUGAUUUUAGCCUUUGAGACAACUGUUAAUUAACACCUUCUGCAUUUUAUAAAGAGUCCUCAGUAUCUGGACUGUAAAAUACCACCCACUAGAUAUAACAAUUUUUGUACUUACAAACACUGCCAUUUUCUUAGAGAUGAAUUGUUGAGAAGAGUAACACUAUGAUUUAAAGCUCAGAGUAAAAUGCAAACGCCAUAGCACCUUGAAACCAUUUAUGAGGGGUCUUUUGAAAGUUCACAGAAAAAUGAAAAAUCUAUGCAUGGAUUUAAAAAUAUUUUUGCACCAAAAAUAAACUUAUCUUUUAAUGCCAAUUUUUUCAUGAACUUUUUGAAGUAGCCUUGUAUGCUUGUGCUAACUAGAGCUGUGAAAUGGUUGAAAUGUUUUAUCAGCCAACUUUUAUUUGACUCUUUAACUCAAGUAACAGUGAUAAACUGUACCUUUUGAUCAAACAGGUUUGAGAUGAAAAUUAAAAUUUCAUAUUUCUUUUGGAAAACUCUUAAAGAGUUAACAGUUAAGUCAUACUUUGUAAGUGGCAAAAAAGGUUUAAAAUUUGGAAAAAUUUUGUUGAGUACAAUAGUAAUUGCUGUGGAGAGGAUAAAUUGUCAAAAUAAGAAUGUGCUAUAUAUAACGAAGUAUAGAGCUAAAGGAUCUUUCAGUCAGACUUUACCGUGAAACAUGGCUUUUAUAAAUGUCUUGUCUGGUAACUUUACUCACUGUCAGUAUGUAGUAGCUUAUUAAUGUUUCCUGUACUUCUGAUAGUGAAUUUAAGUUACAAAAAGUGGUCCACUGUCUCUAAUUUAAAAAUGAAGUCGAUAUUGAAAUAAAUGACUCUUUUUUAUAAAAAGGUCUUGGUUUAUUGGGGGGAAGACAAUUACAUAUGUUAAGCAAGUAGAGACUUUUCAAAGGUUUACAUGUUUCAGUUAUGUCUAAACAUCCUUGUAAAAGACUGGUUUUUGAAAUUUGAGAAGCUGAGAACUCAUGAGAAUGUUUAUGGACCAGUUGGAACAUUUCAUGCUAUUAGGUUAGUUUAUCAGUUCCUUCUGGGUGCCAGUGUAAUUAACACAUUGUGACUCCAGGCACUAAAAUAAUUCACUGGACAGUUAUGAGUUGGUUAAUUCAGGUGAUGGUGUAGGAGAUGCUUUUUAUAUUAUUGAACUUAAAAUUUGCUUAUAUAGAACUAUUGGCCUACACGAGUCUGCAAAGCCGAAUUUUAAAACACUGGUGAAGAUCAAGUCUAAAGUACUCUCAUGUUUUGGGUUUCUGUGGUCAAACUGUUCACACUGGUCACAUUUUAGUGUCAAAGUAUCGAAGCAAAAGAUAUAGUCAGUAUAAUGCUUAGUUAUCAAAACAGUUUUUUUGGUUCUGGUGUAACAGUAUAAGUGUACUUAUUUAACAAAGUGGUUUUUUGAGGGGGGUUGUUAUAAUUUUCUGUGUUUGAUAUAUGUUAUUUUUUCUUUUUGAAGUUUAUUUAUUUAAAAGGCAGAGAACUUGCAUCCAUUGGUUCACUCCCCAAGAGGUAAUAGCUAGUGCUGGGCCAGGCUAAUGCCAGGAGCUAGGAAUUCGAUCUGGGUCUCCCAUGUUCCCAGUAGUUGAGCUGUCAUCUGCUGCUUCCCAGGUGCAUUAGCUGGGAGCUGGAUAAGAACUGGAAUUGUCUGGGACUUGAACUGGCACUGCAAUGUGGCAUAUGGGCAUCUCAAGCAGUGGCUUCAUUUGCUGUACAAUGCCUGCCCCAGCUACUAUUUCUUAGCCUUCACUAAUAUUUAUAUUGUCUUUUAAACAGAUCUAUCUGUUGGUUCAUUCCCCAAAUGCCAGUGAUGGCUCAGUCUUGGCCAGGUGGAAGAAAGGAGCCUGGAACCCAAUCUGUUCUCCCAUGUAGGUGGCCAGGAUUCAAGUACUUGAACCAUCAUCUACUGCCUUCUCAGAGUGGCAUGACAAGGGAGGAAGAGGACAGCAAUGGAUGAGAGCGCAGUGUGCCUGAGCCACCAGCUCCAGAGAGGCACUUCACCCCAGAAAUGCUUCACCAUGUCAGUGCAAGCAACAGUAGAAUGCACUUCCUUCCCUCAAGAGUCGCUCCUCCAGCUACAAGAAUCUACUCCCAAAAUUACAAUGCGUCUACUACUGUAUUUCACUGAAUACAAGACCAUCACAUUUAAGGAGCCUCAUGAAUGUAUGAACGGGCCUCACGAAAUUCAUGGGAAAAGUGGAAUUAAAAGAGAAGACAAGGGGCUGGCGCUGUGGUACAGCAGGUUAAGGCCCUGGCCUGAAGCACCAGCAUCCCAUAUGGUUGCCAGUUCUAGUCCCGGCUGCCCCUCUUCUGAUCCAGCUCUCUGCUGUGGCCUGGGAAAGCAGUAGAAGAUGGUUCAAGUCCUUGGGCCCCUGCACCCACGUGGGAGACCCAGAAGAAGCUCCUGGCUCCUGGCUUUGGAUUGGCACGGCUCUGGCUGUUGCGGCCAUCUGGAAAGUGAACCAGCGGAUGGAAGACCUCU